Cavia porcellus (domestic guinea pig) is the source of this 6209-nucleotide long non-coding RNA. RefSeq lists it as uncharacterized. NCBI's taxonomy places the organism in Eukaryota, Metazoa, Chordata, Mammalia, Rodentia, Caviidae. The transcript has 5 exons. The record is from RefSeq and is a predicted model, not a curated record.
CUUUUUUAAUCUUUUCCUCCCACCCUUUCUCCUUUUAAUGUUUUCUUUGUGAUUGUUUUUGUAAGUUUGUUUUAAAAGUUCACAGCAUGCUUUCUUUUCUUGUAGACUAGGAGACCGUGAUCUCACCCUGACGCACAGGAUCCCUUGCAACCACAUCAUGAGAGCAGUGCACCGGGAUCCUGAGAAGCUGCUUUCCUAAGGGAGGGGAUCCCUGAGCUGGGUACAUGGAGAAUUCAUGGUGACCUGCCUCUUCUCUUCCAGCACCCCUUCUUAUGGUAGCCAUGGAGAUCAAAGUUACCCCAGCAGGACUGACACCAUACACAGCAGUGGCACUUACCCUCAGCCCUGUAUGCUGAAGAUUGGCAGUGGCCCUCCUGAUGCCCACUUGGUCACCCUGAAUAUGAGACCUGGUGAUGACAGUGGCCAGACCAUUCUUGGCUGAUCAUCCUGUAAGGGAAAGAAAAACUCCAGAAAGGAAAGAAAAGCCAACUGCCAUAGAAGAAAGAUUAAACUGUUUUCUAGCCUGUGCACUACAGACUUGAAGGAAAAUAAGGGAUGAACCUGGGCUCCUCCUUUUUGGCAAUAUGGAACGCUUGAUAGCAAGAGAAAAACUUGCUAUAGAAGAUUUAGUGCUGUGGUGUACAGCCUAAAUCACACAGCAGAGCAGGAGACAAAUUCUGCCUGUGUUCAAGGUAGGUGGUCAGAUCAAAGACAGCUACAUACAGUCAGCAACCCUGCCUGGGAGAAGUGUUCUGGGAGAAAACACACACCACAGGGAAAAUGUAAUGCCUUUUUAUUUGCUCUUUGGCUCUAGAUGGUGGGAAUAACAGAAGAAAGAUUCUUUAAGAAUUUCUAAAAUAAAUCACUGCAUGAAUUCUGGAAUUAAAUUUACACUACUAUUCUGAUUUGAAAAUCCCCAUGAAAAUUUGUGAUGGUUUCAGGUGGUAAUUCUUAUGUGCCUAGCAGAAUUUAACUAAAUCUCCCUUGGAAGGUCUAUGUUAAAUUCAGACUUAAAAUACUCGAAUAGAUAAAGCUCUAGGGACCGUAUACUUGCCACCAAAAAUUACAAAUCACAUGAGGAAACAUGUCUCAGUAACAAGAGUUAACAGGAAAAAAAAACUCAUCAGACAUGCCAAAUCUAUAAUACUGUAAUGAUAAAAUUCAGAAUUCUCAAAAGAUGUUUAUAAUGAUUAAAGGAAAGCUUUUGAAAUUGUCUAUAGAAUUAGAAACUGUAAAAAAUGUCAAAGCAAUUUUAAAAAGAUAAUAGAGUUUAUAGAAAUUUAAAAAUCUCAAUGUGUAAUUAAAGACUACAAGAUGAAACUAGAAAGUAAAAGUUCAACAUGUGACUCUUCAGAGUUCAAGAAUCUACACACUGAGAGAACUGGGGGUAAGGAGUAACUGUCAGUGUUAUAGGGGCUGCAAAGUUUUGAUACUGAUAAACACACAAAUACUACUCAACAGAUUCAUGAAAUUCAACUAUUUCCACACUGAGAAAAGCUGAGUAAGGCUGUACCUACAAAUCCCCGGAAAGAAAAGUUUAGAGUGGACAGAAAAAGAAGAGUAAUGAAUCAUCAUAAUAAUAACUAGUCUAGAACGGGAAUAAACAACAGCGAAGCUAAGUAGAUGAAAAAACAUCUUUAAACAUCUUUAAAAUUUUGAGGAACUUACUCUCAGUUUAGGAUUGCUGGGUAUCUUACAAGAAUGAAGAUGAAAUGUAUUUCACAACAAGAAAAAUGUAGAAUUUAAGAAAAAUUCUUAGAGCUACCAAAGGCCCUUCUUCAUAAUCCAGAAAAAGAGUUCCAAGACAUAAGAAAGAAUGACAAGCAAUAAGAACGAUAUACAUGAGGGUAAAUUUAACUAGACAAUCAUCAUAUAAAACAAAUGUAAUUUCUAAAAUGUACAGGACAAAAUGUACAAAAAUAAUAUGUUGAGAAAAAUCAAUAUAGAUCAGUGGCAGAUGUCAAAUAUUCUAGGUUGACUGUACUAUUUUGGAGGAAGGAAAAGAUUGACUAGUCAGAAGAUGGAAUAAUAGAAAAUAAGAAAAAUCAUCUCCACUUAAAAAUCCAUGAAAAGAUAGAAAAGUAAACAGAAAACAAGGUACAAAAAACCCCCCACACGAUUAGCUGGAUGCAGUGGUACACUCGUACCACUUAGGAGGUUAAAAUGGGAAGAUUACAAGUUCAAGGGCAGCCUAGCCAAUGUAGCAAGACCUUGUCUCAAAAUAAAAGAACAAAGAGGACCGGGGAUGUAGUUCAGUAGUAGUGAGCUUGUCUUUCUGUGGCUGGACCGAGCUUCAACUUCAGGAUUACAAAUAAGCAAAAUGCAAUACUACAACAUUAGAUAGAAAUACAGUAAAUUUUGUAACAGCUUUUAUAAUAAAUGUAAAUGAAUUAAACUUUCUGGGUGAAGGACAGAUAAUUCCAAUCUGCGGUUUAAGGAAAAGUAAACCAUUUACAGGAAGAAUAUCUAAAAUAUUCAGAAACAAAAUUUGAAAGUAAUAGAAAAAAGACGAAUAUAAUAGAUUUUAACUAACCAACCAAAAGGGAGUGGAUGCAGCAGUAUAAGGAUUAGAAAACUAGACUUGAAACCUAAAUUAUUGAUUGUGAAACACAUCACCUCUAUUAAUUUUUAUAUUUAUAUGAAUUUUUAUGAUAGCUUUACAACAUGAAGACUAAAAUAGGCAUUAUAAAAAAGGAGAAAUCAAUGUGACUAAAAUAUUGACACAUCUUUCUCAGAAAAUGACAGAUCAGAUAAGAAUAAUUUGACAAAAGACGUAGAAAAUUUAACCCAAACAACAAACAGACUGGACUUAAUGGAUUUUGCUAUGGUUGCUCCCCACCAAAACUCUUGUAGAAAUUUAAUUACCAGUGUAAUGACAUGAAAAAGGAUGGCUCUUUAAGAGGUGAUAGGCAUGAGGUUCAGCAUUCCUGAAUGGAUUAAUGUGGUCUCUGGGAAUUCUCAUUUUUGUAGGGCUAAAUGUGUUAAUCUAACAGCAGGUUUUUAUAAGCAAGCCUGGCAUGUCCUCUUAGUAUCUGGCACACACGCCUCUUCUGCAUGAGUAUGCUUGUCCUUCCACUGUUUCUUCCAUAAAUUGAAGUAGCAGGUCGUCCUCACUACAGGGAUCAGUAAUAUUAAUAUAUAUGGUAAAUAAUAUGAAAUAUAUGUGUAAUCCAUUAACUAGUGAUUUCCUACUGUUCAUUUUUUUCUUCUGUAAAUCUGUAUAACUUAUACCCUUUCACUUUUUUUUUUCUGUUCUCCUUAAAUAAAAAAAAAAAGAAAUAUAUGUAAAAUAACUCUUGGAAUGCAAAUAAAGGUGUAUCUAAAGAUAUCUAUAUAAUAUACAUAUAAUAUAUAUGUAAAAUUUGAAUUGGAAAAGAGAGGUGUUAAAGAAUAAAAGUUAAUAAAGAAAAAAAGUUUUACUAGAGAGACUUAAAAAAGAUAAAUAAACUCUAAGUAAGAGUUUAGUAAAAGUUGUUUUGAAAGGCUAAAACAGAUGAAAUCUAGCAAAAAGUAGAGACAGAGAACACAUAUAAAAUAAUUUUUGGAAAAAGAAAAAUAUAAAACUGUAAACUUAGCAGUUGCUUAAAGAAAUGAUUUCUUUUUUUACAUUUAUGGUAAUAUAUUGGAAUUUUUUUUGAACUGGACAAAUUCCUAGAAAAGUUGUUAAUAUGAGAAAAUAGAAAAUAUUACAGUUCAAUAAUAUUAUACUCAUUAAAUAAUCUGCAUUGAUAGUAAAGAUCCUCCCACAAAGAAAAUAGCAGGCACAGAUUAUUUACAAAGAAAAUCUACUAAACAAUGAAGCAACAAAGAACUCUAAACUUUCACUAGCACUUUCGGAAGACAAAAAGAAGAAAAAAUUCUUUUAUAUGAUUAACACAGUUGAUAUAUCCAAAUCAGACAAGGACUAGGUAGAAAAAAGCUGUAGGCUAAUCUUACUCAUGAAUAUGGAGUCAAAACGUAAAUCUUUCAAAAUAAUGACAGGUGAAGAAAGAUGAUACACUGUCCAAGAUGGUUUCAUUUCAAGAGGUAAAGUGCAGAACUGUAAAAUUUAUAAAAGUUAUUCAUCACGCUGAAUGAAGAAAGCAUAUUGCUGAUGUUUUCUGUUCCUCACUUUCAUUUCCUCAAUGUUGUGCUUCUUAUGUGUUUGGGUUGUAAGUUUCUUCGCACUGUCAUACUUAGAAUUAAGAUCCUUUCCCUUGGAUUCAUCGCCUUUUCAUUAGGAAAUACAUUUCUCUGCUGUAAGCACUGUUUCUUGUUUUAAGAGCUACUCUGCUGGUAUUAGUAUGGUAAUACUAACCCUUUUGCUGAGAGCUUGCGUACAUGUUUUCUCUCCCCCUUUAACUGCCAGCAUUGUGUAUUCUCAUGAUUAAACUCGUGAGUCUUAAGUGAGUGGAGCUGGUUUUUGUCCUUACAUCCAAUUUGACGAUCUUUGUUACCUGGAUAAUUUACCCGUUUAUAGUUGAUGUAAUUGUGAUUUUAUUGUGUUCAGUCCUCUAUUUUACUUUUUGUCUGUCACUUGAUCUAUUUGUUCUAUGCUGUUCUUCCUCUCCUUUCUAUACCUAAUCAAACACUUUUCAUUAUUCUCUUUCUUCUGUUAUUAACCUACUUGUUAUUUAUUAUUUUAUUACUUUUUAGAUAGUUUUCCUAGGCUGGGGAUAUAACUCAGUGGCAUAGCAUUUGCUUGGCAAGCACAAGGUCUUGAGUUUGAUUCCUGGUACUUCCACCCAAAUAGUUUUCCUAGCAUUUACCACAUCCUGCUUUGAUGUAUCAGUGUCUGAUAUAAAUUAAUGGCACAUCUGGAGAUAUUGCCUGUUCAGUGUCAGAUUACCACAGAAAAGCAAAUAUAAAAGCCAGUGACAUGACGUUGGUGUCCAGCAUAUAAAAGUUAGUGAAUGUAUCUUGAUGGCUACCUCAAUGUCAUGAAUUGAUUAAAAAUGUUUAUGGGAAUUGCUGUCACAUAAAAACAUAGAAUACAUUGUAUGUGUUCAUCCACUAUAUUCACUGGAUCUGGCACCAUGCAAGUCCUGGUCCUUCUCCAAUAUCAAAAUGACACAAAAGAUACAGGUUUUCAAUUAAUUCAGGACAUUGAAGCUGCUACAAAAGUGAGACUAAAUAUACUCAUGAAAAGGCUUCCAUAAUUGCUUUUAAAAAAUGGAAUCAGGGCUGGGGGGUUAGCUCAGCUGCAUAAAUGCCUGCUUGGUAAGCACAAGGUUGUAAGUCUGAUCCCUGGUACUAAAAAAAAAAAAAAAAAAAAAAGAUAUCAGUGUGUUUGAAGUAAGGGAGAAUAUUUGAAACAAAUUUGUGUCAAUAUGUCCCUUGCUGUAAGAAGAAAUUUUUAAAACCUAACCAUUCAUCGUGGUUCGCAAUUACACCUAAUAAUUAAAGGAGCUGAACCUUCAUAUAGGUGAAUCAUACAGUCUGUACUCUUUCACGCAAAUUAUUUCUUCCGGACCUUCAUGUCUAUGAGUUCAUGCAUCUUGACUACUCAGAUGUGGUUUGUUUUUAUUGCUGAGUUGUAUUUCAUUGCACAAGUGCACCAAAACUUACUUAUCCAUUAUAGUGUUGUUCUUCUAUUUGGAUGCUAUAUUAGUCAGGAUUUUACUGGAGAAAGCAGAUCUGACAUGAGAUAUGCAAGUGUAUAAGAAAUUACAAGACUGGCUUACAAAGGUCAGCCACAGUGUUGGAAUAGGAAGUGUGCAGAGGGUGUCUGCAUGCUGGGGACUGAAGAAUUCAAUCCAAGGUCUGGGGUUCACCCUGGUGUCUUGUUCAAGUCUGCACCAGCAGGCUGAUGGGUCUGCAACAAAAGGCCAAAAGGUCUAUGCUGGAAGGUUGAAGAGUCCAUGCUGGAAAGCUGGAGUCUACAUAGGAAGUCGGGAGACGACGUCAAAACCAAAGGCAAAGACUGGAGCUUCUCCAAAGAAUGGAAUGCAUUCAUCCUUCCUCCUUCCCUUGUGUAACUCCAGGGAUGACGCACCCUAGGUGGGUCUUCUAUACCCUGGCUAUAGAGAUGCUAAACCCAUUUAGUUAAGCUUCUAAAUGUCUCAAGUUGACACAAUCAAUCAACCUCUACAAAUGCUCUUAUAAAGAAUAGAGACUUAAGCAUUUAGUAGCAUAUUUUGUGGGUAUGAACAUUCACUGUUUGGUGCUGGUAGUAGGAGUGUGUGUAUUUAUGUAUAUAUACUGAUAAUUAAAAUUUCUUGGUCAGAAGA